UAAGAGGAGUAUCUCGUAUCAGGGGAUGUGCCUGAGCGACACAGUGGCAACAUGUUUCUUUAAAAAGAUGGUUUCAUAGAGAUCGGGAGGAGGAUUUUUUUUUGGAGAGAGGACACCACGGGGGAAGAGAUCAGAGAGCUUUCAUGGGCAUACAAAGAAAAAAGAGGGGAUCAUCCAUUCUCUGGAAAAAACAGCACACAACGGGGAGGGAAUCACGACUCGAAAGGUGAAGGUUCGGGUAUGCAUUACUUUCUCCCUUCGCACACAGACACUAUGCAUAUCAUGAGUGAGGCCCUAUACCCGAGUCUGAGCGCAACUUAGAAUUAGAGGAGUUGUGUAACGAUGUCACUCUGGGACAUACUAUAACACCCCAAAUAAUUUAAAGGGUAUUAUUGGUAGUAAAGACUAAAUUAAUUUGAUAUCUGAUAUAAACAAUCAAACUUUAUUUCAA
Molecule: long non-coding RNA, 451 nt
Organism: Vigna angularis (adzuki bean)
Lineage: Eukaryota; Viridiplantae; Streptophyta; Magnoliopsida; Fabales; Fabaceae
Exons: 2
Source: RefSeq, a predicted model, not a curated record